GACAGAGGGUGCAAACGUUGUUCGGAAUCACUGGGCGUAAAGCGCGUGUAGGCGGCUGCGCAAGUCGGGCGUGAAAUCCCGUGGCUCAACCACGGAAGUGCACCCGAAACUGCGUAGCUAGAGUCUCGGAGAGGAAGGCGGAAUGCUUGGUGUAGAGGUGAAAUUCGUAGAUAUCAAGCGGAACACCGGUGGCGAAGGCGGCCUUCUGGACGAUGACUGACGCUGAGACGCGAAAGCGUGGGGAGCAAAC
Molecule: ribosomal RNA, 250 nt
Filed under: uncultured bacterium
Lineage: Bacteria
Description: partial 16S ribosomal RNA
Rfam family: Bacterial small subunit ribosomal RNA
Source: RNAcentral